RNAcentral lists this ribosomal RNA (514 nucleotides) under uncultured bacterium. Its description in RNAcentral is "partial 16S ribosomal RNA". It matches the Rfam family "Bacterial small subunit ribosomal RNA", at positions 28 to 523 of the family's 1533-position model. The record is from RNAcentral.
GACGAACGCUGGCGGCGUGCCUAAUACAUGCAAGUCGAGCGAACAGAAAAGGAGCUUGCUCCUUUGACGUUAGCGGCGGACGGGUGAGUAACACGUGGGCAACCUACCCUAUAGUUUGGGAUAACUCCGGGAAACCGGGGCUAAUACCGAAUAAUGUCUUUUGCUUCAUGGUGAAAGACUGAAAGACGGUUUCGGCUGUCGCUAUAGGAUGGGCCCGCGGCGCAUUAGCUAGUUGGUGAGGUAACGGCUCACCAAGGCGACGAUGCGUAGCCGGCCUGAGAGGGUGAUCGGCCACACUGGGACUGAGACACGGCCCAGACUCCUACGGGAGGCAGCAGUAGGGAAUCUUCCACAAUGGGCGAAAGCCUGAAGGAGCAACGCCGCGUGAGUGAAGAAGGUUUUCGGAUCGUAAAACUCUGUUGUAAGGGAAGAACAAGUACAGUAGUAACUGGCUGUACCUUGACGGUACCUUAUUAGAAAGCCACGGCUAACUACGUGCCAGCCGCCGCCGUAA